CGAGCGGUAAGGCCCUUCGGGGUACACGAGCGGCGAACGGGUGAGUAACACGUGGGUGAUCUGCCUUGCACUCUGGGAUAAGCCUGGGAAACUGGGUCUAAUACCGGAUAUGACCUUCCAGUGCAUGCUGGUUGGUGGAAAGAUUUAUCGGUGCGAGAUGGGCCCGCGGCCUAUCAGCUUGUUGGUGAGGUAACGGCUCACCAAGGCGACGACGGGUAGCCGACCUGAGAGGGUGACCGGCCACACUGGGACUGAGACACGGCCCAGACUCCUACGGGAGGCAGCAGUGGGGAAUAUUGCACAAUGGGCGAAAGCCUGAUGCAGCGACGCCGCGUGCGGGAUGACGGCCUUCGGGUUGUAAACCGCUUUUGACAGGGACGAAGCGUGAGUGACUGUACCUGUAGAAUAAGGACCGGCCAACUACGU
Molecule: ribosomal RNA, 426 nt
Filed under: bacterium M2A-303-16S
Lineage: Bacteria
Description: bacterial SSU rRNA
Rfam family: Bacterial small subunit ribosomal RNA
Source: RNAcentral